UCGGGGAUCGUCUAAUGGUAGGACGCCAGGUUCUGGCCCUGGUAAUCGGGGUUCAAAUCCCUGUCCCCGAGCCA
Molecule: transfer RNA, 74 nt
Filed under: Parcubacteria group bacterium
Lineage: Bacteria
Also listed under: 1 other name
Description: tRNA-Gln
Rfam family: tRNA
About the family: Transfer RNA (tRNA) molecules are approximately 80 nucleotides in length. Their secondary structure includes four short double-helical elements and three loops (D, anti-codon, and T loops). Further hydrogen bonds mediate the characteristic L-shaped molecular structure. tRNAs have two regions of fundamental functional importance: the anti-codon, which is responsible for specific mRNA codon recognition, and the 3' end, to which the tRNAs corresponding amino acid is attached (by aminoacyl-tRNA synthetases). tRNAs cope with the degeneracy of the genetic code in two manners: having more than one tRNA (with a specific anti-codon) for a particular amino acid; and 'wobble' base-pairing, i.e. permitting non-standard base-pairing at the 3rd anti-codon position.
Source: RNAcentral